RNAcentral lists this long non-coding RNA (886 nucleotides) under Vigna radiata. RNAcentral's name for it is "long non-coding RNA (VRAD_LNC010729)". Lineage: Eukaryota; Viridiplantae; Streptophyta; Magnoliopsida; Fabales; Fabaceae. The record is from RNAcentral.
CUUACCACAGUGUCCUUGGUCCUUGACACCAGUCACAACACCCUUCUUCCUCCAAUCCAAAGUGUAAGGUGCAUCUUCGCAUGAGUCAUCCUUAUUAGGCAAGUCGUGUCUUUUGCCUAAUGGCUUCUUUACCUUUGAAUUAAACUUAUGCUUGAACUCUUCAUUGCUCAUGUCAGCAAACCUGUUCAAUCCUAGACUGUGCCCGUAAGGAUAAUUUCGCUUUGCGUUCUUCUCUACGAUGUAUUUCAAGUUCCUCUUGAAAUUCUCCAACCUUAACUUUGCUUCUUCAGGGUGUUCGUAAGACUUUCGGUGCUCCUCCUUCCAUCGUUGAAACAGCUCCACCACCCCUUCCUCUGAAGGAAACUUGUCAAGGUCGAUGGCCAAUAUGGAGUACUCACUUGGGAGACCAUAGCACAGAAAUGCCCAUGAACCCCAGAGAAGGAAGAGAAAAACCAGUUGAGUUUUCAGUUGGUAGACCAUUUUCUUCCUUGUUUACUUGAUGAUUUGAUCCACCAUCAUCUUUGUAUUCCAUAUUUAUACAACAUUACCAAUCUGCCAGUCAGCAUCUUGGUCCUUUGGACUUUUACUUCUUUGGCUUAGAUAGAAAAUCAGAAAGGUAAAAGAAAAGAAAAGAAGAUCAAAUAGCACUGUAAAGUAAAGGGGUGAUUUGGUAGUAAUGUAUGAAUGAAUUCCAGUGUCAACUUCACGUUUGUAAUUGGUAAUGAGUGUGAAAUAUUUGUUUUAGUAGUUGGAUUUUUUUUCUACCUAAAAAACUAGUGAAAAUUUUGGGAUUGUACUAAGAAAAAAGGGUUGGGUAAUCUAACAUUCAAACGUGUACGUGUUCUGACUAGGCUAUUAGACUGGUUGCUGAGGCAUGGCACAAGCA